Molecule: non-coding RNA, 103 nt
Organism: Vicugna pacos (alpaca)
Lineage: Eukaryota; Metazoa; Chordata; Mammalia; Artiodactyla; Camelidae
Source: RefSeq, a predicted model, not a curated record
GAAUUCAGCAAGGUAGCAGAAUACAAGAUUAACACACAGAAAUGUGCUGCAUUUCUUCACACCAACAAUGAAAUAUCAGAAAAAGAAAAAAUACACACAGUCC